This 71-nucleotide transfer RNA is filed under the name Halosaurus ovenii. RNAcentral's name for it is "tRNA-Tyr". It matches the Rfam family "tRNA". Rfam says of the family: Transfer RNA (tRNA) molecules are approximately 80 nucleotides in length. Their secondary structure includes four short double-helical elements and three loops (D, anti-codon, and T loops). Lineage: Eukaryota; Metazoa; Chordata; Actinopteri; Notacanthiformes; Halosauridae. The record is from RNAcentral.
GGUAAGAUGGCUGAGUGUUUAAGCGGUGGACUGUAGUUCCACAAAUGGGGGUUAAAUUCCUCUUCUUUCCA